AUGAAGGACCGUUGGAUGCUGGCAGAUCGGCGGAAGGUCGCGUCUUCAGCGCAUCCGCCGCAUCCGACCAGAGCGGCGAGAUGCAUCCCUCCGUCUGCAGUGUGUGGGCUGUUGUUCAUUUCCAGUCAUGUAAGUCUGUGUAGCGCUUUAAAACACAUUAGCUCCCCCAAAUCAUUUAUUAUUUUAUGUUUCCAACAUUAUUGGGCUUGUUAUCACAGCAGAUUCAUAAAAGAAUAAUAUAGUGACGAAGCCCAGAGCCAUUAUAUUGCUAUGAUUUCUUUUUCCCCCUGGCAAUUUAACCUAUGAAUAUUGGCAUUUAAGGGUCUAUUUUCUUGGUUUCAUGGUCACAAAAAUGAGACGUCCGCACAUAAAUUGUUGAUUCCUGAUCAGCACAGAGAUUUACGAUGGUUUAAUUUGAGGCAAGUUCAGAAACUUUUGGAAAAUCAGAACUUUGUACAAGUUAAAUUCUCUCUAAUUACAACAAUCUUCCUCACUCCCUUCUAAUUUGGAAUUGCUCAUCUCCACUCACACUCUAGGAAUAAAUAACGGAUGUAUAUUAUCCUAAAUUUAGACAGGUUCUGCCAAAGCAUCCCUCUCAUUCGCUGUACUCCAAUAAUCAAUGACAUCUUUGUAAUUAAACAUUGAUAAUGUUGGCGGGGGAACUGCGAGCGUUGUGGCGAUUGCCAUAAAGGUUAAGGUGUCUCGGUGACAGAAGAGGGUCUGAGCAAAGCCGUGAAUCACGGCGGCGGUUGGUGUGAUGGCCAUGUGUGCGCUGGCGUGAUGCUUGCCUGGGUGUGUUCUGCACGCACGGAGGGGGGGAGGCUGGGCAGUCCUCUGUCUUCACGAUGAGCAGAUGGUCGCUCUGUGUUAGCUUGUGGGAGGCUGCCAACAAGAAAGCCCAUUUGACACAUGAGUCCAGAACAAAUGCAUACCAACAUGCAUUUGUUCUCCGUGUUCUUCCUGAGAACAUGGGAACUUUCACAAAUGGAGGGUUUAAGAAGAUAUUAUUUUAGGUUGAUUCAGAUUCAGAUUCAGGUCCUUUAUUGUCCCACACGGGGAAAAGUGAUGUAAUGGAAGAUGCAAUAACAUCUGUAGAAUUUCGUCCUUUUGUCUGUUCUAAAUUAAAUCCACAUUAGUGUUCUUGUCAUAUUGAGUUUUCUAACAAGUUUUCAAGUAUUUUUUUAACCUGCAUCUCAACAGACUGGCAUGCAAAUGAUAUAAUUCCAUUUUUUAAUUGAACAUAUAACAUUAUUAAUUGUGAUGGAUUCAUAUAAUUGGUAAAUGACUGGUUGCAGUUCAUAAAAGCACCCGAUUUGCAAAUCAUCAAGCAUAUCCACUAAAAUUAUAAUCAGUAUUGUAUGUAUGUGUCAUUCUCUUUAAUUAAUGUAAUGAACUUUGUAUCUUAAACUAAUAGCACGCGGAGAGUGCAGACCUCAGCCAACCAGCUCAUUUCCUCACAUAUUGUGACUUACAGCUGUAGUAUAAAUUCUAUAUGCAGUACAGGCAGUAUAAUACAAGGUUAUUUAGCAUAGUAGGUCGCUUUAUGAGGAAAGCCGCUUGGCUUUGGUUUUUGGAAGUUCAAAGUCCC
This is a long non-coding RNA of Takifugu rubripes (torafugu), 1588 nucleotides long. The record is from Ensembl. NCBI's taxonomy places the organism in Eukaryota, Metazoa, Chordata, Actinopteri, Tetraodontiformes, Tetraodontidae.